This 446-nucleotide ribosomal RNA is filed under the name uncultured bacterium. RNAcentral's name for it is "bacterial SSU rRNA". It matches the Rfam family "Bacterial small subunit ribosomal RNA", at positions 330 to 792 of the family's 1533-position model. The record is from RNAcentral.
UCCAGACUCCUACGGGAGGCAGCAGUGGGGGAUAUUGCACAAUGGGGGGAAACCCUGAUGCAGCGACGCCGCGUGGGUGAAGAAGCGCCUCGGCGCGUAAAGCCCUGUCAGCAGGGAAGAAAAUGGCGGUACCUGAAGAAGAAGCCCCGGCUAACUACGUGCCAGCUGCCGCGGUAAUACGUAGGGGGCAAGCGUUAUCCGGAUUUACUGGGUGUAAAGGGGGCGCAGACGGCGAUGCAAGCCAGGAGUGAAAGCCCGGGGCCCAACCCCGGGACUGCUCUUGGAACUGCGUGGCUGGAGUGCAGGAGGGGCAGGCGGAAUUCCUGGUGUAGCGGUGAAAUGCGUAGAUAUCAGGAGGAACACCAGUGGCGAAGGCGGCCUGCUGGACGAUGACUGACGUUGAGGCUCGAAAGCGUGGGGAGCAAACAGGAUUAGAUACCCGCGUA